GGGGCAGGAAUUUCACUUCCUCCCACGCCACCCCUUGCCUCCCCUCCCACUCUAGCCACUCCUCCAAGCACUACUCGCACUCCCCCUCCAGGCACUACACCCCCUCCAGGCACUACUCCGCCUCCAGGCACUCCGCCUCCAGGCACUCCCCCUCCAGGCACUACACCCCCUCCAGGCACUCCCCCUCCAGGCACUACACCACCUCCAGGCACUCCCCCUCCAGGCACUACACCACCUCCAGGCACUCCCCCUCCAGGCACUACACCCCCUCCAGGCACUACACCUCCUCCAGGCACUCCUCCAGGCACUACACCCCCUCCAGGCACUCGACCCCCUCCAGGCACUCCUCCACCCCCUCCAGCAACUCCAGCC
This 372-nucleotide long non-coding RNA is filed under the name Selaginella moellendorffii. Its description in RNAcentral is "long non-coding RNA (SMOE_LNC000078)". The record is from RNAcentral. Lineage: Eukaryota; Viridiplantae; Streptophyta; Lycopodiopsida; Selaginellales; Selaginellaceae.